Molecule: ribosomal RNA, 704 nt
Filed under: Actinomycetes bacterium
Lineage: Bacteria; Bacillati; Actinomycetota; Actinomycetes
Description: bacterial SSU rRNA
Rfam family: Bacterial small subunit ribosomal RNA
Source: RNAcentral
GCAAGUCGAACGAUGAUGCCCAGCUUGCUGGGCGGAUUAGUGGCGAACGGGUGAGUAAUACGUGAGUAACCUGCCCUUGACUCUGGGAUAAGCCUGGGAAACUGGGUCUAAUACUGGAUACUACUGUCCACCGCAUGGUGGGUGGUGGAAAGGGUUUUACUGGUUUUGGAUGGGCUCACGGCCUAUCAGCUUGUUGGUGGGGUAAUGGCUCACCAAGGCGACGACGGGUAGCCGGCCUGAGAGGGUGACCGGCCACACUGGGACUGAGACACGGCCCAGACUCCUACGGGAGGCAGCAGUGGGGAAUAUUGCACAAUGGGCGGAAGCCUGAUGCAGCGACGCCGCGUGAGGGAUGACGGCCUUCGGGUUGUAAACCUCUUUCAGUAGGGAAGAAGCGAGAGUGACGGUACCUGCAGAAGAAGCGCCGGCUAACUACGUGCCAGCAGCCGCGGUAAUACGUAGGGCGCAAGCGUUGUCCGGAAUUAUUGGGCGUAAAGAGCUCGUAGGCGGUUUGUCGCGUCUGCUGUGAAAGCCCGGGGCUCAACCCCGGGUCUGCAGUGGGUACGGGCAGACUAGAGUGCAGUAGGGGAGACUGGAAUUCCUGGUGUAGCGGUGAAAUGCGCAGAUAUCAGGAGGAACACCGAUGGCGAAGGCAGGUCUCUGGGCUGUUACUGACGCUGAGGAGCGAAAGCAUGGGGAGCGAA